RNAcentral lists this transfer RNA (64 nucleotides) under Megaris sp. RNAcentral describes it as "tRNA-Asp". Lineage: Eukaryota; Metazoa; Arthropoda; Insecta; Hemiptera; Megarididae. The record is from RNAcentral.
UAGAAUUUAGUUUAUCUAUUAAAACACUAAUAUGUCAAAUUAGAAAAAUUAUUAAUAAUUCUCA